This is a long non-coding RNA of Bombus pascuorum, 3646 nucleotides long. RefSeq lists it as uncharacterized. The record is from RefSeq and is a predicted model, not a curated record. NCBI's taxonomy places the organism in Eukaryota, Metazoa, Arthropoda, Insecta, Hymenoptera, Apidae. The transcript is spliced from 4 exons.
AUCGUUCGCUAUCUUUUUUAUUAAGCUAACGAGAGGCAUCGUCAAUUUUCCUUUUGUUUCCUUUUUCUCUUUGGAUAAUCGCGUGCGACGUUUGUUACGCUGCGAUUCCACCGGUAAACAACGGAAGAAUUACCAUGUACCGUUUCUGCGAUAAUUAGUUGAUACGUAUUCGUGAGAUAGAAAUCCGGAAAUCCAAUAGCAACUAACGAUCAUUCGUGGAUUACGAUUGUAACGAUUUACGAUAAAAAUGUAUUACACGUGUUUCUAGUGUUGUAAGCAGCUUUGAAACGUGCAUCGAUAAUAUCGCUGAUCGCUUCAAAUGGGACGUCAAGUACUAAAACAGUGGCGACCUAUCGCUUUAAAUUCAAUGGUGUGACAUAAAAAUAAUUUCCUCCUCGAUUGAAUGAGAUCGACGCGAACGAGACGCGAAAGGAAAGCGAAUUAAAUAAAUAAGUAGGUCGUAAAUUCUCGGAAGCGUUAUGCAUCCGAGGCACCGGCAGAUUUCGCUAAAUCAAGCGCAAUUACCGAUCCGUCGUCUCGUCUGAACCUGCAAUUCCCCCAUUGCCCUUACCUUCGCAACGAUUCCAGUUCCUACCCUGGAAUCACUCAAUCCCCGUUUACCUCUCCCGUUCGCGCAAUGUUUGCGCGCAGUCAUGGCACCAGCAAAGUGGCCCUAUCAAUAUUAAUCGCAAUAUUUGCCUGGCAUGCUCUUCGUCGCACUCUCUAUUACCAAUUAAUCCGGUCGUGCGAAGUAUGCUGCGAACGAGCAGAUAGGCCAUAACGCGCGAGAUGAAGCGAGGGAACGAGAGAGCAAGAGUGACCAGGGGACAAAUAAAAAUGAUGGAAGAAGAAAGACGGACAGAGAGGAAGAGAAAGAACGGGUGAGACAGUGAGACGGUGAAGGGGAAAGCGAGAGAGGCCAAAGAGAAAGAGAGAGAAACGACUCGUUGACGGGUUAGAUAUUGUGUCAGCCGAGUCGUCCAGCAUUAAAAGUAAUUACGACGUGAUUGACCGAGGGCCCGUUGGCCGAGGGUGAGGCGACGCCGAGGGGAAGGCUAAAUCAUCGGAGUGACGCACGUAGCUCGUUGUUGCCUCCCAAUUAUACAAUCAGCGAGACCAAGCAGAGGAGAAGCGAGAGGGAAAAACCGAAAGAUAGACGAAGAGUGGGAAGGCCAACCCGUGCAGCAGAAGAAAGAAGCAAAGAAUAUACUUGGAUCUUGUAUCUCGUGACGGACGAAAGACGAGAAGAGACGGUGGCGGAAUUACGUCAGGAACGUAGUGGGGCAGCCGUGGUCGUUCGAGUCGGCGAAGAUCGGUGCCAUCGCAACGAUAAUUGCCAACCGGAACCACCAGCACGACCGGGGAUGCAUCGAGACUCUCCAACAUCGACUUUUCACAGCUACUUUCAAGGACAACGUUUUGUACUCGUGAACGUUACACAUUCGACGGAAGGUGUUUGAAUCCGCCCCUGUGCGAGACGAGAAGAAGAGGAAGACGGACGAAGGAAGAUGGACCGAUCGCGAUCGUUAUCGUCUAUUAUAAAGUCGAGUAAGUUGGCCUGUGAUGCAGCUGCCGUUUUGUACGGCGAUGACGACGGUGGUUUAUAAGUCGUGAUCUAGAAACAAAUGAGCCAUUGUGGAGGACAAUCGUUCCGUUAAGGACGGGAGGAGGGCCAAAUAGGCGUGAAGAAUCGAACGACCGAGCUGGCAAGAAGAAGUAAUCGAUUUCGAGAUGGUUUCCGUCGUACUGCGACGACGUCUAAUCCAACCAUUGCAAAAGGAAAACACAUUUCGCGCUCGAACACCUCCCAAGUGCUACGCGCUACCAUUCUUCGUUCGUUUAACGUUUGUUCCUCUCCGUGAAUCAACGUGCGAGCUUUAUUUAAACGUUUCUAUUCUUACGUUUCUUUUCGACAAAAUUGAUCCCGUGAUAUUGAAAUAACAAAGAUACAAACUCGGUCGAAAGUAUUAAAACUGUUCGGUUGGAUAUAAAAACUUAGUCGAAGAAUGCUAAGAACAACGAAACGAAACCGAACGAUACCACACCUCUACUCAAUUAGGUUGAGUAUUUAACAGGUUUCCCGCGCGACCAUACGACGAACGAUGGAACACACAGAGAAGCGAGGAGAAGGAACUGAGUGCAGAACGAUCCAGAGCAACGGAACCAGUAGAAAUCUCUCGCUACCUUUUCCAGACCUCCAGCGGCGCGGCGAUCGAAAACGAUAGAAUAGAGCAAGGAACCGUACGACGUUUCGCGGAACACAACGGCUCGUAAGCGGCCGUCGUGCAGGCGUUAAAGAUCUGAUGCCCACUAAUGACGAAGUCUUGUGUUCACGUGUUGACACUAACUGAUCACGAAAAGGAGGACGAAGAAGUGUCAAUGAUUGCUUCGCUGUGUCAUCCUGUCCGUUUGAUAAAUGGUCAGAACUCUAAUAAUAUAAUACAUAUUUCAGUACGGAGCAUGUGUUUGGUAUUUUUUCAAAUUCCACCGAUUGAAUAUCCUUUUCGCGGCCAUUAUCACCAUCCAUUUCUUGGCCAUAAUAAAUCGUACAGAAUACGUUCAUUACGACUGCUAUCGCGCAGGUAUCGCUGGUAGAUCUCCAAGAUUCUAAUUCAAUUAGAUUCGGGUUUUACAUUCGAUUCACCAUCUCACGUUUUCUUAUCAGAUUCUUCCUGAAUAAAAAUGUCAUAGUUGCGGACCCAUUUCGUCUCGUUAUUGAUUUAAAAAUACAAAAGUUCUAGAGAAAAUUAACGUUACCGACAAAACGAUCAGAGACUUAUCGAUGAUUCGCGAAUCCCGUCUAAAGAGCUUCUCUCGAUUUUUCAUUUCUUGUAAAAGAUAUAAAUAUAAGAGUACGUAAUAAGAAGACGAAAGAGGCAACGAGCUAAUAAAACGCACUAUUAGGUUGGCAAUAUCGGAGAGAAUAGGGUACCGAGAAAUCAAGCGUCCGGUAGAAGAAUCUCCGGACGGAUCCGAACAAGGGCUGGUCGUGCAGGCGUUAAGGAUCCGAUGACGCUAAUGACGAGGCCAUGUGUCCGCAUAUUGACGCUAACUGGACUGACCGCGAAGAAGGAAAGCAAGAAGGAUACGAAAGAAGAAGCAGAAGAAGAGAAGAAAGAUAAAAGGGGAAGAGGUGGCGAUGGUUUGCAGUACCACGAGUAGAGUAGAAGACCGGUGUGCACGGAGGUAACGGAGGUAACAAACGUCUCCUCGAGGCCUCGAGUGUGGUAGAAAGGCGGAGGAGGGAGGGCCGCGGCAAAGGGUUCUUCCGAGGGUUAGUCCGCAGAGGUGAGAGGCAGAUCGUCUCGCGAGAAGGACCGCGCUCGAGGGAGAAGGAAGAUGAGAAAGCCCCAGGCUCGAGCCCAGCACCUCAUUACCCGAUAAUUUACUACGCGAGUAAUUAACUGGGCACACAAACGGUGCCACGUUAUAUACACCCUGCGCGCAUAUAUACGCCUCGACGACUCUUCCCUGGCUCUUUUCGAUUCUCCAGGCUCAUAUAUUACCGGUGCCGCGUCCUCUUGCCGAUCUAUUUAUCCAUUCGUUUGUAAGCGAUGAACCUUCGACGUGCGAGUGCACGUAGGUAUUUCCAAAGACCAGUCUGACAAUAAUCGCUUAAACGAUAGAAAAUGAGACGGCGGAGACG